GACGAACGCUGGCGGCAUGCUUAACACAUGCCAGUCGAACGGAAAGGCCCUGCUUUUGUGGGGUGCUCGAGUGGCGAACGGGUGAGUAACACGUGAGUAACCUGCCCUUGACUUUGGGAUAACUUCAGGAAACUGGGGCUAAUACCGGAUAGGAGCUCCUGCUGCAUGGUGGGGGUUGGAAAGUUUCGGCGGUUGGGGAUGGACUCGCGGCUUAUCAGCUUGUUGGUGGGGUAGUGGCUUACCAAGGCUUUGACGGGUAGCCGGCCUGAGAGGGUGACCGGCCACAGUGGGACUGAGAUACGGCCCAGACUCCUACGGGAGGCAGCAGUGGGGAAUAUUGCAAAAUGGGCGGAAGCCUGAUGCAGCAACGCCGCGUGCGGGAUGACGGCCUUCGGGUUGUAAACCGCUUUCGCCUGUGACGAAGCGUGAGUGACGGUAAUGGGUAAAGAAGCACCGGCUAACUACGUG
This 468-nucleotide ribosomal RNA is filed under the name uncultured bacterium. Its description in RNAcentral is "partial 16S ribosomal RNA". It matches the Rfam family "Bacterial small subunit ribosomal RNA", at positions 28 to 507 of the family's 1533-position model. The record is from RNAcentral.